Non-coding RNA from Procambarus clarkii (red swamp crayfish), 2396 nucleotides. Lineage: Eukaryota; Metazoa; Arthropoda; Malacostraca; Decapoda; Cambaridae. The record is from RefSeq and is a predicted model, not a curated record.
GCAGGGUAUGGGAACUAGAUAAUAUCCAUACACCUUGCAGGGUAUGGGAACUAGAUAAUAUCCAUAGGGCAGCCUUACCUUGCAGGGUAUGGGAACUAAAUAACAUCUAUACACCUUGUGGGGUAUGGGAACUAGAUAAUAUCCAUACACCUUGCAGGGUAUGGUAACUAGAUGAUAAUAGGGGUGUGUGAGUCAAUCUCUGAAGUGUUUUUUUAAAUUGUUGUUGGAUUUGAAUUACCUAUCACCAUCAGUAACUAGAACAAUUCCAUGUUUUGAGUGCUGAAAAACAACAGAAAUCUCCCUAGUUAUAGUUAGCUUGUGUAUUAGUAAUUUGCCAUCUUUCUGUAAACAAAUAGGAUUUCUUAUGAUUUUCUUUCAGAUGUUCUUGUCCUUGUUAUUUAUUUGUAAAUUAAAGCCAAGCUAUUGACAUCUUUUCAAGUCAUACUGGUACUUAAUACAACUGUUAAUGAUGAUAAUAUUGACAGUGUGGUGAGUGGUGUAUGAUGAAACAUUGAGGGCCUAUAAUCGUAAGACUGCUACCCUCUGGUCUGUGACAUACCGCUGAGAUAUGAGGUAUGUCCCACCUCUAACAUACAGAGGUGGGAAGUUGGAAGUUAGUUAGGUUAAAAUCAGAUUUGUUAAAUAUAUUUUGACUACAUUCUUAGCGAGUAUUUUCCUGAACACACAGUACAGACUACCUGCAACACUGGACUCGUGCAUUAUCUGUAGUGGAGGUAUGCUGGUGGCCAGUGCGAGUAGUAUCUAAAUUUUGGGGCCUUAUCGCUCGGUCUGCUACUGCUGUCAUGACCCAUCGUCUCUCCUAGCAUAAGAUAAAAGUUGUGAACUUAAGAGAUGUGGAUCCAGCUGACAUAAGAGAAUGUCGAUGUUGUAAGACUCAAAAGAGUUUGCAUUAUCAUCAGGUAUAUAUUUUAUUACAAAUGCUUAGGCACUUCAGAAGGUUCAGAGCACAUUGUAUUUUUUAUCACUUUAUAUUCAGUACAUAGCACUGUAAAUUUAUUGCAUCUUCAUAUCAUCAUGGGGAGAAGUAAUUAUAUAUACCGUAAAUAGAUUGUAUUGAACCAAGUUGUUGCAAUGAACUUAGAAACCUAUUACUCAAUAGCUUUUUAUACAUCUUAUGUUUCUUGUGUAUCAAAUCCCAUUGAAACGACUGUUUUCAUACGCAAGAUACAUAUAUGGUAUGGUCUUUGUUUACAUGUACAGUACUGUACUAAUAUUAUUUUGCAACUCAUGUUCUGAAGUUGUUUAUGUAUACUAUAUUUUUAGCAUUUUGUGUUAUAAGUCGCGGAAACUGGUCCUCGGUAUAGAAAAGUUGCCUGUUUCCAAGCAGGUGGUUUAGUUGGUGUAUACACAUGAUACAUUUUGCCAUUUCAUAUCAUACAGGUGCAAGCAUAAACAAGGGCCAGCAUUGGAAAUGUAUAUUGCAAACGUUUUCAGAUGGGUUUUAGAAUUGCUUAAUUUUUUUAGAUAUUCUUGAAACAUGAUCAUUUAAGGAUAAAUGUAAUACCAAUUCAAGUUUUGCUUACCUUGAACUAGAAUCCUUAAAAUCAAAGAGACAAUUUGACAAUUAGACAAUAUAGAAUAAAAUUCCAUGUGUAGCUCAGGGCACCUUUACUCUAGUAUUUCACUGAGUACCCAACUUUCUGUUAAAAAAGUUGCUGAUCUUGAUGAAAUGAUGAGCAAAGGUGUCCUGUGCCGUGCAAGAUAUUUUUAUUCCAUUGAGCUUUAAUUACUUUUUUCAUAUUUAAGAUGUAUUGAAGUUGUCAGCCAAAUUAGUCUAAGAAGGCAGUAGAAAAUGUGUGGUGAUAGUAGUUUAUAAAUAUUUAUCAUGCAUUGUUUUCCUUUGUAUUUAAUUUGAUUAGACCAACAAUGUGGGUUCCCUGUAUAGUAUUUAGCAGCUUGUGGGGAUGUUCAGUAAUUUAUUUCUUCAAUUCAAGUAGUUACAUAAUGUUGGAAGUGGUGUUGGUACAAAAUUGUAAGAAUAGUCUUAUACAUUUCCAAAACAUUGACUUGUAAAUAUAGGUUAUUAUGGUCUAAAUUAAUUAAUAUUUCUUUCAUGUCAUUGUGCAUAUAUUUUAAACUUUCAAAUAUUGGAACAUAUAUAUAUAUGAAUGUUUGUAAUCCAUAAUUAAAUUGCUUUAUAUUCUUUUGGAAACGUUGUCAGGGUUUAAAUAGUUUGUAACCAUUAAUGCUUGAAACAUUCAAACUGAUGAGAAGGUAAUUUCAUUUAAAUUUUAUCUUGCAUCAUUUGUAUACUUAGGAGGUUGGUUAAAUAAUGAGGAUACUGUGUAUAUAUUUUGUUUGUUCAGUAUUCUUAUGACAUAAAAUUAUCAUAUAUUUAUCAUAGUACUGUAUUUUAGAUUAUAAUAUCAAUGUUA